Molecule: ribosomal RNA, 854 nt
Filed under: Microvirga aerilata
Lineage: Bacteria; Pseudomonadati; Pseudomonadota; Alphaproteobacteria; Hyphomicrobiales; Methylobacteriaceae
Description: bacterial SSU rRNA
Rfam family: Bacterial small subunit ribosomal RNA
Source: RNAcentral
AAUUCUUCAACUUGAGAGUUUGAUCCUGGCUCAGAACGAACGCUGGCGGCAGGCUUAACACAUGCAAGUCGAACGCAUCCUUCGGGGUGAGUGGCAGACGGGUGAGUAACGCGUGGGAACGUGCCCUUCAGUUCGGAAUAACCCAGGGAAACUUGGGCUAAUACCGGAUACGUGCGAGAGCAGAAAGAUUUAUCGCUGAAGGAUCGGCCCGCGUCUGAUUAGCUAGUUGGUGAGGUAAUGGCUCACCAAGGCGACGAUCAGUAGCUGGUCUGAGAGGAUGAUCAGCCACAUUGGGACUGAGACACGGCCCAAACUCCUACGGGAGGCAGCAGUGGGGAAUAUUGGACAAUGGGCGCAAGCCUGAUCCAGCCAUGCCGCGUGAGUGAUGAAGGCCUUAGGGUUGUAAAGCUCUUUCGGCGGGGACGAUAAUGACGGUACCCGCAGAAGAAGCCCCGGCUAACUUCGUGCCAGCAGCCGCGGUAAUACGAAGGGGGCUAGCGUUGUUCGGAAUCACUGGGCGUAAAGGGCGCGUAGGCGGCUUUAUAAGUCGGGGGUGAAAGCCUGUGGCUCAACCACAGAAUUGCCUUCGAUACUGUAUGGCUUGAGACCGGAAGAGGUUAGUGGAACUGCGAGUGUAGAGGUGAAAUUCGUAGAUAUUCGCAAGAACACCAGUGGCGAAGGCGGCUGACUGGUCCGGUUCUGACGCUGAGGCGCGAAAGCGUGGGGAGCAAACAGGAUUAGAUACCCUGGUAGUCCACGCCGUAAACGAUGAAUGCCAGCCGUUGGGCAGCUUGCUGCUCAGUGGCGCAGCUAACGCUUUAAGCAUUCCGCCUGGGGAGUACGGUCGCAAGAUU